RNAcentral lists this ribosomal RNA (839 nucleotides) under uncultured bacterium. RNAcentral describes it as "bacterial SSU rRNA". It matches the Rfam family "Bacterial small subunit ribosomal RNA", at positions 545 to 1387 of the family's 1533-position model. The record is from RNAcentral.
CCGGAUUUAUUGGGUUUAAAGGGAGCGUAGGCCGGAGAUCUAAGCGUGUUGUGAAACGUAGAUGCUCAACAUCUGCACUGCAGCGCGAACUGGUUUCCUUGAGUACGCACAAAGUGGGCGGAAUUCGUGGUGUAGCGGUGAAAUGCUUAGAUAACACGAAGAACUCCGAUUGCGAAGGCAGCUCACUGNAGCCCAACUGACGCUGAAGCUCGAAAGUGCGGUAUCGAACAGGAUUAGAUACCCUGGUAGUCCGCACGGUACCCCAGUGAGGCCCGCUGUUGGUCUGAAUAGGUCAGCGCCCAAGCGAAAGCAUUAAGCAUCCCACCUGGGGAGUACGCCGGCAGCGGUGAAACUCAAACGAAUUGACGGGGGCCCGCACAAGCGGAGGAACAUGUGGUUUAAUUCGAUGAUACGCGAGGAACAUUACCCGGGCUUGAAUUGCAGAGGAAGGAUUUGGAGACAAUGACGCCCUUCGGGGCCUCUGUGAAGGUGCUGCAUGGUUGUCGUCAGCUCGUGCCGUGAGGUGUCGGCUUAAGUGCCAUAACGAGCGCAACCCCUCUCCUUAGUUGCCAUCAGGUCAUGCUGGGCACUCUGGGGACACUGCCACCGUAAGGUGUGAGGAAGGUGGGGAUGACGUCAAAUCAGCACGGCCCUUACGUCCGGGGCUACACACGUGUUACAAUGGCAGGUACAGAGAGACGGUCCCUUGCAAAAUGGAUCAAAUCCUUAAAGCCUGUCUCAGUUCGGACUGGGGUGUGCAACCCGACCCCACGAAGCUGGAUUCGCUAGUAAUCGCGCAUCAGCCAUGGCGCGGUGAAUAAAUUCCCGGGCCUUGCACA